This 527-nucleotide long non-coding RNA is filed under the name Phoenix dactylifera (date palm). RNAcentral describes it as "long non-coding RNA (PDAC_LNC017759)". Lineage: Eukaryota; Viridiplantae; Streptophyta; Magnoliopsida; Arecales; Arecaceae. The record is from RNAcentral.
ACACGCGGAUGCGUGAGUGGGAAUCUGAUGGGGGCUCACGGUCCAAAGCCCCUCACCAAGCCCCUUUCCUUGCGCUCCUCGCGUGCUCCUUUGAAAACGAUGAUGAUGGACCGAUUGUAGGCAACGCCCGGUGGAAUAACUCAAGAAGAAGAUCAACAAUGAAAGCAAACUUGGUUUAUAUUCCACUAAAUUGAUGAACGAAGAACAAUAAUAAAGAAAGCAAAGAAAUCUAGAAAGAGAUUGAAGAGAUCUCUCCCUAGCCCAAUCUAGUGGAGAUUGAUGGAUCUACCACUAGCCCAAGUCCUAGAACACAAGAUCUAAGGACCGAAUUCGGCACAAACGCCACCCAAGCCUUACGGCCGACAUAACAACAUGACUCUAGAAUAACUCUUGAUGCCUUUCAAUGGUCCUUUACAUCUCUUUUUAUAGCCUAAGCCCUAGACAAAACAUGGCAAUUUGUCUUCACAUGGAUCCAAGGCUUUUCCACCGUUGAUUGGCAUGAGAUGGAUGGCUAAAGAUCACCCAAG